Molecule: ribosomal RNA, 209 nt
Filed under: uncultured bacterium
Lineage: Bacteria
Description: partial 16S ribosomal RNA
Rfam family: Bacterial small subunit ribosomal RNA
Source: RNAcentral
UGCGUAGACGGUUAGAUAAGUCGGGUGUGAAAGCCCCGGGCUCAACCUGGGAAUUGCAUUCGAGACUGUGUAGCUAGGGUACGGAAGAGGGAAGCGGAAUUUCAGGUGUAGCGGUGAAAUGCGUAGAUAUCUGAAGGAACACCAGCGGCGAAAGCGGCUUCCUGGUCCAGUACCGACGUUCAGGCACGAAAGCGUGGGGAAGCAAACAG